CAAGGUGAAAACUAAUUGGCCUGAAGAAGAGCUUGCGUCUGAUUAGCUAGUUGGUGGGGUAAGAGCCUACCAAGGCGACGAUCAGUAGCUGGUCUGAGAGGAUGAGCAGCCACACUGGGACUGAGACACGGCCCAGACUCCUACGGGAGGCAGCAGUGGGGAAUCUUCCGCAAUGGGCGAAAGCCUGACGGAGCAACGCCGCGUGAGGGAGGAAGGUCUUUGGAUUGUAAACCUCUUUUCUCAAGGAAGAAGUUCUGACGGUACUUGAGGAAUCAGCCUCGGCUAACUCCGUGCCAGCAGCCGCGGUAAUACGGGGGAGGCAAGCGUUAUCCGGAAUUAUUGGGCGUAAAGCGUCCGCAGGUGGUCAGCCAAGUCUGCC
This 379-nucleotide ribosomal RNA is filed under the name uncultured Microcystis sp. Its description in RNAcentral is "bacterial SSU rRNA". It matches the Rfam family "Bacterial small subunit ribosomal RNA", at positions 195 to 593 of the family's 1533-position model. Lineage: Bacteria; Bacillati; Cyanobacteriota; Cyanophyceae; Chroococcales; Microcystaceae. The record is from RNAcentral.